Molecule: long non-coding RNA, 4208 nt
Filed under: Malus domestica (apple)
Lineage: Eukaryota; Viridiplantae; Streptophyta; Magnoliopsida; Rosales; Rosaceae
Description: long non-coding RNA (MDOM_LNC006400)
Source: RNAcentral
GAGAGAAAAGAAUGAUAAAGAAGAGUGGCUCCCCGAAGGGUUUGAGGAGAGAAUGGAAGGUAAAGGACUAAUUAUAAGAGGUUGGGCUCCGCAAGUGCUGAUUCUUGAGCACGAAGCAAUCGGAGCCUUCGUGACUCACUGCGGGUGGAACUCCAUCCUUGAAGGAGUGUCUGCUGGGGUGCCAAUGAUCACAUGGCCCGCGUCGGCUGAGCAGUUUUACAAUGAGAAGUUGGUGACUGAGGUACUGAAAACUGGGGUUGCUGUUGGUGCUAAACAAUGGGGUGCAGGUACAUUUCUGGAUGUGAAGAAGGAAGCCAGUGUGAAGAGGGAAGCCAUAGAAAAGGCUGUAAAUCAAGUAAUAGCGAGUGAAGAAGCAGAGGGAAUGAAAGGCAGAGCCAGGGUGCUUAGAGAGAUGGCAAUGAGCGCUGUUGAAGAAGGUGGUUCGUCUUUCUCAGAUUUAACUUCUCUAAUUCAGGAAUUGGGGUCCCUUGGAGCAUGAACUACUUUCGACGGAUUAAAUCAUUGUAUACAAUGGAAAAUAUAAAUCUAAAUACAUAUUUUUAAGCUCAGUAGACUUGUCUCCCAAGUCACAACUACUGAUAUAUACCAACUCUAUCAACCAGUUUCUUCAGUCAAUCUUUUGCAGUGCUAUUAUUUCUCUUCUCCGUUAUUCUCCAUCUUCUACGCAAAUUACAAAUCUCUUACUACUUGAAAUGGACGAUAAAACCAACCAACCUCACAUUUUUUUCUUCCCUUGUAUGUCACACGGCCAUAUGAUACCAACCAUAGAUAUGGGCAAACUAUUUGCUUCAAGAGGCAUCAAAACAACCGUAAUUUCCACCCCUCUUAACUUAUCUCCUUCUCCAAAACCAAUGAUGACUCGUUUAUUAAUCCGCAAUCAAAAUGAGGAGAAUUCAAUUGAGGAGAAGUUCGAUUAAGAAAGAAUUAGAAUCAGAAGGUUUUUACUAAACUGGAGUUGUAGCUUAAUUUUAGUUAAAACACAUUCACCCUUGCACCUUGAGGUCCCGAAUUAUAAGUUAAAAAUGCUUCUAUUACUCAAAGAAUUUGUAGCUCAGUUUUAGUUAAACCGCAUUCACCCUUACCCCUUGAGGUGCCAAGUUCAAUGCCAAUUCACCCUCGUCCAAUAGCAGAUGGGUAAAACCCACGGAGCAUUAACGUGCAUUACUUGAGCAUGCUACUUUGCACCUUCCUAUAUCUGAUAAAUUAAAUCCCCAGGCAGCAAAACAAACAAGGUCCAAAACACCAUCCAUAGUAAAGCCAAGUAAAGGCAUCACUGCCGGCUGACGCCAGCGUGACGUCACAUAGCCCAACACAUUGCUCAACACGUUUUGGGUCGGCCUAAAAGCUGGCUUGGAUUGGGUGCUUGCCUAUUUGGAUCGGCUGGAGGGGUUUUAAGGGGUGCUAGCCUAUUUUUCCCACUUUGGACCAUCCUAUGUGCUUGGGUUGGAGUUGCUCUUAAAGUGGCAUGUUUGGAAAAAGAUUAUUACAAUGUUGAUUUUUUCUAUAUUCUAUUAUUUAAAUAUACUAUCAAGAAAAUUUUAUUUAAAAGAAAGAUCAUAUCAACAUAAUAUAAUAAAUAGUUCGAAACAGUUUGAGUUCAAUUUUUUUAAACUCGCUCGAGAUUGGCACGUACAAGAAGCAACUUAAACUUAAAUAUAGUAGUGCUAUUCGGUUUGAGUCGACUCAUUUACAAUUCUAUAUCCAUUCGACUUUAUCAAAUAUAGGACUAAGGCUUGUUUUAUUUAUUUAUUGUUAGUCGAUUUUCAUGUUGCGUCGUUUAAGAAUUCAAUCACCAGAGAUCAAUGUAUAAAAUAUCGAUGAUAUCGGAAAUAUCGGUAGUCCAAAAAUACGGAAAUUUCGAUGGAAAUAUCGGGAUAUUAUCGAUAUCGAUAAAAAUUGAAUAAAAACCACGGAAAUUGUAAGAAAAACUUGAAAAUUUUUAUUGAAACUUUGCAGGAUGUUUAUUUAGUCAAUUAUCUAUUAGUUUAACACAAAAAAUUGGAAGGAAAUACAUUACAUAAUAGAUAUAACUGAUUUAAGUUGAUUAUAUAGCGAGCUGAUAAAUAUUGUGAGUGUAGAAAAUAUGUAGUAAUUAAUGAAAGAAGUUUAAACACACCAUAAUCAUUUAUAUAUAAUGAAUUAGUACAAUAUUUUACACUUUAUACAUUGCAUGGUAAGAUACAUGAGUGACUUAGUAAGGUCUAAAAUAUCGAUGAUAUCGGAAAUAUCGGUAGUCCAAAAAAAUAUCGGUAGUCCAAAAACACGGAAAUUUCAAUGAAAAUAUCGGAAUAUUAUAGAUAUUUUAGACCAUGCUAGAGAUACAAACUUUUAAUAGAUCUUAAUCACCAAAUACCAUGGUAAUCUUCUUUUUUUAGGGAAAUAUAAGGGCUUAAAUUAAAGAGCUAGGGUGGCUACAAUACAACCCGACAAUGAGUUUACAAAGGCUUUGAGUAGUGCGAGAUAGGCUAAUCACCAGAUUGCUCUGGAAUAGAUGAAUCGACGUGUCGGUUUGGGGUAUGGUCAGUUCACUAGGAGGAUCAUCCUCCAAAUUCGAAGUUUUUUCCUGAAAAUUUCAACCUUGUUAACUAUGACAACAAUCGCGACUAUAAUCAAACUCGUGAUUAUAGGAGGGCUGCUCAUGUCACAUCACUAUUCGUGGAUUCGGGCAAUGUGACAGGUUCACCCAAUAAUUCAAACUCAAAUGUGGACAAAAUGAUCUACGUAUGCAAUGACAUAACAAAGCCAUUUUAGUCUUUGCCACUUGGCAGAACUUGAAUUUAAAAAAAAAGAAACAAAUCGUUAAAUCCCAAGUCUCAAAGUAAUAUAUUGAAUCUUUCAGCUCACUGGUUAGUAUCAACUCUCUUCAUCAAUCAUCACCAUCCAUUAUUGGAGGUUGGAGCUUUUUUUUGCAUUCUGUCUAGUCCCCAUGGAAACUAAAUCCCAUAUGCAGCUUCACAUUUUCUUCUUCCCAUAUAUGAUUCAAGGCCACUUCAUACCCCUUAUAAACAUGGCCAAACUAUUUGCUUCUCGUGGUGUAAAAUCCACCCUAAUAACCACCCCUCUCAAUGCACCUCUCUUUUCCAAGGCAAUCCAAAGCAGCAAGAAAUUGGGAUUUGAUGUUGACAUUCUUGUCAUCAAGUUCCCAACUGAGGAAGUAGGGUUGCCUCAAGGAUGUGAAAAUGCUAACUUAGCUACCACCAGGGAGAUGAACGAAAAAUUCAUCAAAGCCACCUUCCUUCUUCAACCACAAAUUGAGCAGAUUUUAUACGAACACCGCCCUCAUUGCCUUGUUGCAGACAAUUUCUUUCCUUGGGCAACAGAUGUUGCUGCCAAGUUUGGUAUUCCAAGGAUCAUAUUUCAAGGCCUCGGUUUUUUCGCUUUGUGUGCUUUUCAUAGUGUGGCGUUGUAUGAGCCUCACGCGAAGCUGUCAUCUGAUUCAGAAGUUUUUACUAUUCCUAGUUUUCCAGUUGAGAUCAAGCUGACAAGAAGCCAAAUCCCGAAUUUUCCCAAGCAAAGUGCUGAAUUCACCAAGUUGUUUAAAGAGGCGAUGGAGAGCGAGGAAAAGAGCUAUGGGUUCAUUGUUAACAGUUUCUAUGAACUUGAACCGGCUUUUGCAGACCAUUACAGGACAGUGUUGGGGAGGAAGGCAUGGCAUAUAGGCCCGGUUUCGUCAGUCAAUAAGGCAGCAGAUGACGAAGCCUUCCUCGAUCGGCACGAGUGCUUGAAUUGGCUUAGUUCUAAGAAACCCAAUUCAGUUGUUUACAUAUGUUUCGGAAGUAUGACCAAAUUCAUUGACUCUCAGCUCCUAGAAAUUGCAGCGGGGCUUGAGGCUUCUGGGCAGGAGUUCAUUUGGGUUGUGAAGAGAGAAAAGAACGAUAAAGAAGAGUGGCUCCCCGAAGGGUUUGAGAAGAGAAUGGAAGGUAAAGGACUAAUUAUAAGAGGUUGGGCUCCGCAAGUGCCGAUUCUUGAGCACCAAGCAAUCGGAGCCUUCGUGACUCACUGCGGGUGGAACUCUAUCCUUGAAGGAGUAUCUGCUGGGGUACCAAUGAUCACAUGGCCCGUGUCGGCUGAGCAGUUUUACAAUGAGAAGUUGGUGACCGUGGUACUGAAAACUGGGGUUGCUGUUGGUGCUAAACAAUGGGGUACACAUCUGGAUGUGAUGACGGAAGCCAGUGUGAAGAGGGAAG